RNAcentral lists this ribosomal RNA (465 nucleotides) under uncultured bacterium. RNAcentral's name for it is "partial 16S ribosomal RNA". It matches the Rfam family "Bacterial small subunit ribosomal RNA", at positions 338 to 795 of the family's 1533-position model. The record is from RNAcentral.
CCUACGGGGGGCAGCAGUGGGGAAUAUUGCGCAAUGGGCGAAAGCCUGACGCAGCGACGCCGCGUGAGGGAUGAAGGUCUUCGGAUCGUAAACCUCUGUCAGCAGGGAAGAACGGUCACUGUGCUAAUCAGCAGUGAAUUGACGGUACCUGCAAAGGAAGCACCGGCUAACUCCGUGCCAGCAGCCGCGGUAAUACGGAGGGUGCGAGCGUUAAUCGGAAUUACUGGGCGUAAAGCGCUCGUAGGCGGUAUGUCAAGUCAAGGGUGAAAUCCCCGGGCUCAACGUGGGAACUGCCUUUGAAACUGGAAAACUGGAGUGUGUGAGAGGAUAGUGGAAUUCCAGGUGUAGGAGUGAAAUGCGUAGAUAUCUGGAGGAACAUCAGUGGCGAAGGCGACUAUCUGGCACAUAACUGACGCUGAGGAGCGAAAGCGUGGGUAGCAAACAGGAUUAGAUACCCCGGUAGUC